CCUACGGGUGGCAGCAGUGGGGAAUAUUGCGCAAUGGGCGAAAGCCUGACGCAGCGACGCCGCGUGAGGGAUGAAGGUCUUCGGAUCGUAAACCUCUGUCAGCAGGGAAGAACGGUCACUGUGCUAAUCAGCAGUGAAUUGACGUUACCUGCAAAGGAAGCACCGGAUAACUCCGUGCCAGCAGCCGCGGUAAUACGGAGGGUGCGAGCGUUAAUCGGAAUUACUGGGCGUAAAGCGCGCGUAGGCGGUAUGUCAAGUCAAGGGUGAAAUCCCCGCGCUCAACGUGGGAACUGCCUUUGAAACUGGCAGACUGGAGUGUGGGAGAGGUUGGUGGAAUUCCAGGUGUAGGGGUGAAAUCCGUAGAUAUCUGGAGGAACAUCAGUGGCGAAGGCGACUAUCUGGCACAUAACUGACGCUGAGGAGCGAAAGCGUGGGGAGCAAACAGGAUUAGAUACCCUUGUAGUC
RNAcentral lists this ribosomal RNA (465 nucleotides) under uncultured bacterium. RNAcentral's name for it is "partial 16S ribosomal RNA". It matches the Rfam family "Bacterial small subunit ribosomal RNA", at positions 338 to 795 of the family's 1533-position model. The record is from RNAcentral.